AAACGAGAAGCUGCUUUUUCAGACUGGUGUGUCCAAAUCCCCGUAACGCUGAUAUUUACAGAGCGGCCUUGGUCGAGAUCCGUCCUCGUUCAAAGCAUAAUCGCAGGUUCGUUUUGUUGAAUUUGACGUUCAAAUUAUACACGUAAAGUAAUUAAACUAAUUACAAUUUCCUCAAUCAAGGUAAGUCUGUGAAACUGAUGUUAUUACACGGCAUACUUUUACAGUGCAAUUCGUGCAGUUUCGUAAUGCCUGCGUCUAAAUUUCUUAUGUCUUCGUUUGAAAAUAACAUCGAUCCUUUUGAAAAUACGAUCUUUCGUUGUUUUUGAUCCGAUUUGGUCCUUCAUUUCUCGAAAAUUCUUAUGUAGAUGAACUGUUAUAUAUAAAUAAAUACAACUUAAUAAUGCCAAAUUAUAAUUAUUUUGAUUCAACUAAAGGCGUUUCAUUUUGGGUACACAUACUCUCAGUUCGUAUCAAUAUAUUAAUCCGGGAUUUUUUUGGAACCAAUUAGGGAUUGUGGUUUCACAACUGAGGAUUUAGCUGUAAUCCAUUGUACUGGAAAUCUAUCAGAUUAGGUCCUCCCGAUUUUCCAAUAGGAUAGCCUAAACGCUGAAGAGAUUGGUGCAGCAGAAGUGAAGGUAUCGUGACACCAACACUCAAGGAUUUCUAAGGAACCACUUCGGGAGGAAUUCAAUCAGAAUAGGUUCUGGAGUUGCCUGUAAAAGGAUACACACGAGAGUCCUUAACAAAACUUCGGGAUUUGAUAAAAAGGAUCAAGUUUAAGGAAGAGCUCUAGAAAAUUUUUUACGGUGCGUAAGGUCGUAAAGAGGCCGUCUAUUUGUAACCUUAAACCUUAAGCCACAAUGUAGAAAAACUUCUUUUAUCUGUAAUAUCUAAGCAAGAAUCGAUCCUCGUGAUU
Molecule: long non-coding RNA, 916 nt
Organism: Cimex lectularius (bed bug)
Lineage: Eukaryota; Metazoa; Arthropoda; Insecta; Hemiptera; Cimicidae
Exons: 3
Source: RefSeq, a predicted model, not a curated record